Molecule: ribosomal RNA, 475 nt
Filed under: uncultured bacterium
Lineage: Bacteria
Description: bacterial SSU rRNA
Rfam family: Bacterial small subunit ribosomal RNA
Source: RNAcentral
CAAGUUGAGUGGCGAACGGGUGAGUAACACGUGGGUGACCUACCUUCGAGUGGGGGAUAACGUCCCGAAAGGGACGCUAAUACCGCAUAACAUCCCGCCUUUGAACAGGCGGAGAUCAAAGCCGGGGAUCGCAAGACCUGGCGCUUGAUGAGGGGCCCGCGUCCGAUUAGCUAGUUGGUGGGGUAAUGGCCUACCAAGGCGACGAUCGGUAGCCGGCCUGAGAGGGCGGACGGCCACACUGGGACUGAGACACGGCCCAGACUCCUACGGGAGGCAGCAGUGGGGAAUUGUUCGCAAUGGGCGCAAGCCUGACGACGCAACGCUGCGUGGAGGAUGAAGGUCUUCGGAUUGUAAACUCCUGUUGCCCGGGACGAAUGGCUCCAACCUAAUACGUUGGAGUGUGACGGUACCGGGUGAGGAAGCCCCGGCUAACUCUGUGCCAGCAGCCGCGGUAAUACAGAGGGGGCAAGCGUUG